UACGGGGGGGGCAAGCGUUGUUCGGAAUUACUGGGCGUAAAGGGUCUGUAGGUGGCCAAUUAAGUCAGACGUGAAAUCCCUCGGCUUAACCGGGGAACUGCGUCUGAUACUGGAUGGCUUGAGAUUGGGAGAGGGAUGCGGAAUUCCAGGUGUAGAGGUGAAAUGCGUAGAUAUCUGGAGGAACACCGGUGGCGAAGGCGACAUCCUGGACCAACACUGACGCUGAGGAGCGAAAGCCAGGGGAGCAAACGGG
RNAcentral lists this ribosomal RNA (253 nucleotides) under uncultured bacterium. RNAcentral's name for it is "partial 16S ribosomal RNA". It matches the Rfam family "Bacterial small subunit ribosomal RNA", at positions 524 to 776 of the family's 1533-position model. The record is from RNAcentral.